UACGUAGGGCGCAAGCGUUAUCCGGAAUUAUUGGGCGUAAAGAGCUCGUAGGCGGUUUGUCGCGUCUGCCGUGAAAGUCCGGGGCUCAACUCCGGAUCUGCGGUGGGUACGGGCAGACUAGAGUGAUGUAGGGGGAGACUGGAAUUCCUGGUGUAGCGGUGAAAUGCGCAGAUAUCAGGAGGAACACCGAUGGCGAAGGCAGGUCUCUGGGCAUUAACUGACGCUGAGGAGCGAAAGCAUGGGGAGCGAACAGGG
This 255-nucleotide ribosomal RNA is filed under the name uncultured bacterium. RNAcentral's name for it is "partial 16S ribosomal RNA". It matches the Rfam family "Bacterial small subunit ribosomal RNA", at positions 524 to 777 of the family's 1533-position model. The record is from RNAcentral.